Molecule: long non-coding RNA, 285 nt
Organism: Quercus lobata
Lineage: Eukaryota; Viridiplantae; Streptophyta; Magnoliopsida; Fagales; Fagaceae
Exons: 3
Source: RefSeq, a predicted model, not a curated record
GCCGUUCUCUUUGUAUCCCUGAUGACCAUAGCCAUCUCUCCCACCCAUAACUGAGCCGUUACCCAUCAUAGCCAUCACAAAAUCUCCAAUGUCACAGGCCAAGUUAAGCAGAAACCCAUUGAAGGUUAAGAAGAAAGAACAGAGUAGCCUUGCACCAUCGGUCUGCCAGUAAAAUCACUAUGAAACCCAACGAAGGUUAAGGAGAAAGAACAGAGUAGCCUUGCACCACUAGUCUUCUAGCAAAAUCACUACGGUAAAUUGAUUUCUUUCAUUGUUCCCUUUCAU